Non-coding RNA from Pelobates cultripes (western spadefoot toad), 203 nucleotides. NCBI's taxonomy places the organism in Eukaryota, Metazoa, Chordata, Amphibia, Anura, Pelobatidae. The record is from the annotation of a GenBank genome assembly.
GUUUUACUCGGGAGACUUCGCUGGGCACAAAUAUUAGUGUUUCAAAACAGUAAAAUGUAUUUCAGCGAUGAGAUUGGUGAAAGUGAAGUUUUUAGCAUUUUUCACACAGAAAUGGCACUUACACUGACUAUCUAAUUCUUGUGAUAAGUUUUACGGUUUUGAAACACUAAUAUUUGUAUUCAGCGAAGUCUCCUGAGUGUAAC